GGCCAGGUAGCUCAGUUGGUUAAGAGCAUUGUCCUAAUAUGCCAACGUUGCAAGAUCAAUCCCUGGUCA
Molecule: non-coding RNA, 69 nt
Organism: Myotis davidii
Lineage: Eukaryota; Metazoa; Chordata; Mammalia; Chiroptera; Vespertilionidae
Source: Rfam